RNAcentral lists this small RNA (303 nucleotides) under Histoplasma capsulatum. RNAcentral's name for it is "hypothetical RNA". RNAcentral also lists the same sequence under 1 other name. Lineage: Eukaryota; Fungi; Ascomycota; Eurotiomycetes; Onygenales; Ajellomycetaceae. The record is from RNAcentral.
CCAACCCACCACUUCCUAAACUCCCUCAACCUCACCGUCAUCACCCUAGCUAUCGCCCUCCCAGAUUCCGUCUUCAUCAUCCUCUCCAACCUCUGCAAUUUCGCUCCAAAAUGCUUAAUCGUCUCGUCCAACUCCCAGCUCCCCUGACCCGGCCCCUUAGCGCCCAAGAACGUAAAACAACGCGCAAUCCCCACUGCACCCAGGGCAUCCAGCCUAUCUGCAUUCCUGCACGAUAGCUAGCUCCGGAUACCCUUCCUCAAAAAAUGAGGCGGCAGAUUACAGCCGGGUCCUUCAUUUCCGUGG